RNAcentral lists this ribosomal RNA (463 nucleotides) under uncultured bacterium. Its description in RNAcentral is "bacterial SSU rRNA". It matches the Rfam family "Bacterial small subunit ribosomal RNA", at positions 25 to 518 of the family's 1533-position model. The record is from RNAcentral.
CAGAACGAACGCUGGCGGCAGGUCUUAGGCAUGCAAGUCGAACGGAUGACAAGGGAGCUUGCUUCCUGAAGUCAGUGGCGCACGAGUGAGUAACGCGUGGGAAACUGCCCUUCACUGGGGAAUAACGUUUGGAAACGAACGCUAAUACCGCAUACGCCCGCAAGGGGAAAGAUUUAUCGGUGAUGGAUGUGCCCGCGUUGGAUUAGCUAGUUGGUGGGGUAAUGGCCUACCAAGGCGAUGAUCCAUAGCUGGUCUGAGAGGACGAUCAGCCACGCUGGAACUGAGACACGGUCCAGACUCCUACGGGAGGCAGCAGCUAAGAAUAUUGGGCAAUGGAGGAAACUCUGACCCAGCCCAUGCCGCGUGAAUGAAGAAGGCCUUCGGGUUGUAAAGUUCUUUUAGUCAUGAAGAUGAUGACAGUAGUGACAGAAAAAGCACCGGCUAACUUCGUGCCAGCCGCCGC